RNAcentral lists this ribosomal RNA (492 nucleotides) under uncultured bacterium. RNAcentral's name for it is "partial 16S ribosomal RNA". It matches the Rfam family "Bacterial small subunit ribosomal RNA", at positions 29 to 507 of the family's 1533-position model. The record is from RNAcentral.
AGUGAACGCUGGCGGUAGGCCUAACACAUGCAAGUCGAACGGCAGCACAGUAAGAGCUUGCUCUUACGGGUGGCGAGUGGCGGACGGGUGAGGAAUACGUCGGAAUCUACUUUUUCGUGGGGGAUAACGUAGGGUAACUUACGCUAAUACCGCAUACGACCUACGGGUGAAAGCAGGGGAUCUUCGGACCUUGCGCGAUUGAAUGAGCCGAUGUCGGAUUAGCUAGUUGGCGGGGUAAAGGCCCACCAAGGCGACGAUCCGUAGCUGGUCUGAGAGGAUGAUCAGCCACACUGGAACUGAGACACGGUCCAGACUCCUACGGGAGGCAGCAGUGGGGAAUAUUGGACAAUGGGCGCAAGCCUGAUCCAGCCAUACCGCGUGGGUGAAGAAGGCCUUCGGGUUGUAAAGCCCUUUUGUUGGGAAAGAAAAGCAGCAGGUUAAUACCCCGCUGUUCUGACGGUACCCAAAGAAUAAGCACCGGCUAACUUCGUG